Helianthus annuus (common sunflower) is the source of this 2489-nucleotide long non-coding RNA. RefSeq lists it as uncharacterized. Lineage: Eukaryota; Viridiplantae; Streptophyta; Magnoliopsida; Asterales; Asteraceae. The record is from RefSeq and is a predicted model, not a curated record. The transcript has 4 exons.
UUUUCGAGUGAAUGAGGAAUUCUUGGACCUCACCUACACAAAUCAAACCUUCAGAAGGCAUAGAAAACGAUCGUUCUUAUCUAAUGCAUCUUCUGUAGAUCUCAAAAAACCCAUAUCUAUAGAUUUUAGUGAAAAAAGCGAGAUGUAAUCGUUGUCGGUCCACGGACAAGCGUGUCUGACAGGCGAGGUGUACUCGCACGGUGGCAGAGAGUGCCCGGCAAGCGAUGUGUAUUCGCGCACGCGACGGCAAGCGGCGUGUACUCGGGCGGCGACGGAGCAUACUUGCACGGCGGCGGAGUGUCCCCGACAAGCAGGGGUGCACCUGCGCGCUGACGGGAGUGGAGAAAUAAGCGUCUAAAGGAAAGGAGUGUUAAAUAAAAGCUUCUGCCGGAGAGGUGGGUGGAAUAUGAGCUUCCGCCCGUGGUGGCGGGUAGGAUAGGGGCUUCCGCCGGAGGUGGCGGGCAGGAUAGGGGCUUCCGCCGGAGGUGGCGGGCAGGAUAGGGGCUUCCGCCGGAGGUGGCGGGUAGGAUAGGGGCUUCCGCCGGAGGUAGUGGGUAGGAUAAGGGCUUACGCCAGAAAUGGCGGGCAGGAUAGGGGCUUCCGCCGGAGGUGGCGGGUAGGGUAAGGGCUUCCGCCAGAGGUGGCGGGUAGGAUAGGGGCUUCCGCCGGAGGUAGUGGGUAGGAUAAGGGCUUACGCCGGAAAUUGUAUGACCGAAAUUAUUACCCUGGAGAUGAGCGGAGCGUGAUGGUAGGCCACUUGGGGUAGCGGGGCAUAUAAGUGACCCCUCGGAGGUGGCCGGGAUGUGUUGUGUUUAUCGGUGAAAAGGGAACACCCUCCUGUGGAGAAUGCAACAGGGCCGUCAACGGCAAGUGCUUAUGCAUGCCGGUGAUGCGAAGGCGGGAAGCACACGCAAGUGGAGCGAGGGCGGUCAGGCUGUAGAUGGUGGAAGGAGUUGGUGGUCCACUGUAGAUGGCGGGACAAGGUAGUUUGCACAGCAUGCGCGAGUAAGUCGUCCGCGGGUAGGUUUAAAAAACCACAAGACAUCAAGAUCGAGUGGAGAUAAAUGAGAUGUGACUGUUGCCGGUCCCACGGAUGGCGCCAAUGAAGAAACAUGUCCCAAGCGGGUCGAUACUUCUACGGUGAUGAAUACGGAUAUGGCCACACCUCGUCUUCUUCGCCCGAAUCCUAGACCUGCAAAUAAGAAGAGAGAACGUGGGCAAUUGUAGAGACGGCCGGUAGAGGAAGAAUCCCCUAUUUCCAGCUACAAAAGUGUUGCCCUAUAUCUCAUACCCUAAUGAGGAGGUGGAGACCUCCUUAUAUAGGAGAUAUAGGAAAAACCCUAACCUCAAUGGGCCAGGCCCAGUUAGGGGUUGUCUCUACGAGCCCACAGCCUAGUGUAGUAUAAACUACAAUGCGCUGGGCCUCGCGGGUUAGUACACAAUAAUAAUAAUAUUUAAUUAAUAUAAAAGUGAUAAAUAGCAUAAAAGUCCGACCGUUUGGGUCGGGUCCAGUACCAUACCGGCCAUAUUCGGUACCGGUACCGGUACCAAAUCUUAAUAAAUUUCGGGACUGGGAAAUUCGGUACCGGUACCGGUUUUUUCCGAUAAUACCGAAUGAGUACCGGUUAUAUAUACACCACUUAUGUAGUACCGAUGAUGUAUCCUAUGUAGCAAAUCCCAUUCUUGGUGAUAUGUUAUCCCAUUGUUCUGUUCUGUUGACCACAAACCAAAACAUUGACCAAGCCAUUCAUAAUUGACAACAUGUAUUCUUAAUAUUGUUUUAUAAUUCAAAAUUAAUUUGAAAGUUCAGAAGUUAAAAGGGUGCUGAACACUGAACUGUAUACCCCUACUACCUACGUACAACCUAAGUAAAAAAAAAAUCUUUAGAAGAUCUCUCUCCCAAAUGGAAAACUCAUGGUUCCUUCUUCUCUCCUAAUGUAAAAACUGCUCAAUACCUCCUACUCAACCUCCUGUACAUCGGAAUUCUCUAAAAUUAAAUAGUGUUUAUGAAUAUUCAGGUACCAUCGGCCACUACUUGUACCGAACCAGCGUUAAUUUAUGCGAUUCAGGCUUGACAAGUUAUUGUAGGUUACUUCAGCAGCUUGCUAAAAAAUGACAUCUCCUUCUUUGAAUGAACCCAAUCUUAGUCAAGAUGAUGAAGAUGAAACGCUUGUCGAUGAGACCCCUCAUGAUGACCAACUAGGUAUUGAUUCGGGAUCGGGUAAUGGGAUGGAAUCAAGCCGUAAGAGAAAAAAACCAACAAAGAAACAAGCUCCCCAAAAGAAAGCCAAAAAAGGAGGCGAAAAGGGAGGCAAAAAAGAAGGCGAAAAGGGAGGCAAAAAAGGAGGCAAGGAGAGGGCCGCGUGUUGGGUUCAUUAUGAUAUUGUCUAUCUAGACACUACAAAAAAAUGAGUAUUAGAGACUAAAAAAUCAGUAUUCGAUACAUAAAAAUCAGUCCCUAAUGUUUAUCAAGGACUGAUUUGCCAGUC